This 253-nucleotide ribosomal RNA is filed under the name uncultured bacterium. RNAcentral's name for it is "partial 16S ribosomal RNA". It matches the Rfam family "Bacterial small subunit ribosomal RNA", at positions 524 to 776 of the family's 1533-position model. The record is from RNAcentral.
UACGUAGGGUGCAAGCGUUGUCCGGAAUUAUUGGGCGUAAAGAGCUCGUAGGCGGUCUGUCACGUCGGAUGUGAAAACUCGGGGCUCAACCCCGAGCCUGCAUACGAUACGGGCAGACUUGAGUUCGGCAGGGGAGACUGGAAUUCCUGGUGUAGCGGUGAAAUGCGCAGAUAUCAGGAGGAACACCGGUGGCGAAGGCGGGUCCCUGGGCCGAUACUGACGCUGAGGAGCGAAAGCGUGGGGAGCGAACAGG